Molecule: long non-coding RNA, 1317 nt
Organism: Engraulis encrasicolus (European anchovy)
Lineage: Eukaryota; Metazoa; Chordata; Actinopteri; Clupeiformes; Engraulidae
Exons: 4
Source: RefSeq, a predicted model, not a curated record
AGUGCCCAUGGCGUCAAAUUUUGACCUUAUGAUGUUUUGGGGCCUUAAAAUGAGUUACUCUGACCUCCUGAAGCCAUCCCAGUGGUUUGCAAUGUGUUACUGUGUACACCGAGCUGUGCUGGAGGUUCCUCCCAGUUUGUAAACAAACUCUGACACAGCAUCCAAUUGACGCAAAGCUCGUGUGUGCCCGAGAUGACGUCCUGCCCUCGUUCGCUCUCAACUCGUCCACGCCCUCUCUCCACCCACUAGCACGCCCAUUCAUUUGAAAACUCUAUAAAUACCAGCAGAACACCACAUACUACCGGUUCAAUGUCUGAGGGAACCUUUUCCUAACUAAUGCUUUCACAAUCUGGGACAAUACAGAGCAAGUUAUGGCCAACACCUGACGCUGAAGUCUGGAUCAAUACCACCAAGCCUCCUGAACAAAAGUUCCCGAAGAAAGCAACAUGAUGAAGCAAAACUCCUCCCUCACCACUACGUUGGAGUCUUCCCAUUCAGUCAUCACCCAAUUUGCUCCAAAGAAUCAAACACAAGCAGACACUUCUUACAGAUGGCUGUCCUCUAGAAUGAAAAUGCACACCAACCACCGGCAAACAUCAAAAGCUAAUCCAACCUUUGGUCUUCGGAAACCCUGCGACUAAUGCAAUGUUGGUGCCCUAGAAGACAAGUCAGCGCAGUUCAGACGAGCCAGCCAGAGGAGGUCACCGCCAGCCUUGUAUCGAGGUUCCAACGUCCUUCAUCAGGGAACUCGGCAUGGAUAUGCAAGACAACACUCGAAUCACUGUUGGACAAAUGAAACGGCUGGAAAAAUAGAAAAGAUGGUUACAGAGACUGUUAUUGCUGUUCUUCUUUCAAUACAAUAUUUGCCUUCCAUAAAAUAUUCCCAUGUUCCAAUUUAAUAUUCUUGAUGCUGUUGUAAAUAAAUUUGCACACUGUCUUCACACUGUCUGCAUAAUUGAAUUAGCCGCUUAUAGUGAUCUUGAACUCUGUACAAAAAGUUCCAGCAUGCGUUGUGGCUCUCCUGCCUUCUCUCCAAGUUUUAGUGAUCUGAUAAAGAUAAGACAUGGCAAGUUUGCUCUUGGUGUCAAAUGAAAGUAAUGCUACCUGAGGUAGGCAGCAUAAUGUUAUCUCUUUCUGUGGGCAUUGUCUCAGUUUCCACACUAGCAUCUAACCUUAUUACAAAAAAGGCAGUUUUCUGAUACUGUUAGCCAGGUUACUCUCAGGUAAACAUGAGAUGAUGCUAUUUUCGCAAUGGAAACUUAACUGGCAACUAUGGAUAAAUGUGAUGUCAACAGAGCAUGGAAUAUUUCACCAUUG